This 118-nucleotide ribosomal RNA is filed under the name Clostridiaceae bacterium HFYG-1003. Lineage: Bacteria; Bacillati; Bacillota; Clostridia; Eubacteriales; Clostridiaceae. RNAcentral also lists the same sequence under 1 other name. The record is from RNAcentral.
UCCGGUGUUUAUGACUGUAAGGGCUACACCCGUUCCCAUCCCGAACACGAUGGUUAAGCCUUAUGGUGCUGAUGAUACUGCACGGGAAGCUGUGUGGAAAAGUAGGUUGACGCCGGUU